RNAcentral lists this long non-coding RNA (591 nucleotides) under Nicotiana benthamiana. RNAcentral describes it as "long non-coding RNA (NBEN_LNC040831)". The record is from RNAcentral. Lineage: Eukaryota; Viridiplantae; Streptophyta; Magnoliopsida; Solanales; Solanaceae.
AACUUCGACUUUAUUUCAUAUUUUUAUUAGGAGUUUACACGAUAGUGGCCUCAAGGAGUGUACCUGGAGAAUUACAAAUGAGAAGGGAAGAUGAAAUUAGCAACAGUAAUAAUUUCAACAGCAACAACCAAUCAGUAUAGGAGUAACUUGAACUCAGAGUAACCAAACAUUUCAACAGAAACAAGUAGCAACGACAAAUGACCCAUGACAACCAAUUAAACUUCAAAGAUGACUCGAAAUCAAACAACAAAACCCUUGAACUUUCAAAUCAAUAGACCUGAACUCAUAUUAUGAACCAGUAGCUAUUAGUUGGACUCUAUUUUAGAUGAAUGAAACAGUAGCAAUAUUUUGAUUUUUUGGACAGUUUUCUUGCUCCUUUUUUUUGGUUUUUGAAAGUUUGAAAUUCAAAUUUAGAUCAGAAACUAGUUGAUGCCUUUUUUUGGGGGAACUUGUGAGCUCAAAACUUUUUGGAAUUUUUAGGGGCUCCAAACUUGUAAAUGAAGGCAUUGGGGUUGCCUUUUAUAGGCAACAAAUAGGGUAAAAUGAUCUAGAUGACACUCAUAUUUUUUUCCUCCAUUAAUUUAAGAUUUU